GGAAGUAAAGUAACAAGGUUUCCGUAGGUGAACCUGCGGAAGGAUCAUUAUUGUAUAACCGAGGUGCGAGGGCUGUCGCUGACCCGAAAGGUCGUGCACGCCCGAGUGCCCUCACACACAUCCAUCUCACCCCUAUGUGCACCACCGCGUGGGUCCCCCUUUGGCUUGUUCGGAGGGGGGCUUACGUUUUCACACAAACUUUGUAUGCAGUGUAGAAUGUAUUUUUUGUUUUUGCGAUCACGCAAUCAAUACAACUUCCAACAACGGAUCUCUUGGCUCUC
This 281-nucleotide unclassified non-coding RNA is filed under the name plant metagenome. RNAcentral describes it as "partial contains small subunit ribosomal RNA and internal transcribed spacer 1". The record is from RNAcentral.